This 24-nucleotide non-coding RNA is filed under the name Drosophila melanogaster (fruit fly). The record is from RNAcentral. Lineage: Eukaryota; Metazoa; Arthropoda; Insecta; Diptera; Drosophilidae.
AAGUUAAAAAGAAGCUUGAGCUGG